This 466-nucleotide ribosomal RNA is filed under the name uncultured Planctomycetota bacterium. RNAcentral's name for it is "bacterial SSU rRNA". It matches the Rfam family "Bacterial small subunit ribosomal RNA", at positions 372 to 828 of the family's 1533-position model. Lineage: Bacteria; Pseudomonadati; Planctomycetota. The record is from RNAcentral.
UGCCCGAAAGGGUGACGAAGCGACGCCGCGUGGGUGAGGAAGGCCUUCGGGUUGUAAAGCCCUGUCAGGAGUUAAGAAAUGUAGACUCGCUAAUAUCGGGUCUAUUUGACAAAGGCUCCAAAGGAAGCCACGGCUAACUCUGUGCCAGCAGCCGCGGUAAUACAGAGGUGGCAAGCGUUGUUUGGAAUUAUUGGGCGUAAAGAGCACGUAGGUGGAUUUGUAAGUCAGACGUGAAAGCCUUCUGUUCAACGGAAGAAUUGCAUCUGAAACUACAAACCUUGAGUGUAGGAGGGGAGAAUGGAACUCCUGGUGGAGCGGUGAAAUGCGUAGAUAUCAGAAGGAACGCCGGCGGCGAAAGCGAUUCUCUGGCCUAUUACUGACACUCAGUGUGCGAAAGCUAGGGGAGCAAACGGGAUUAGAUACCCCGGUAGUCCUAGCCGUAAACGAUGGGCACUAAGUAGAGGGG